CCUACGGGGCGCUCCAGGCGAGAAAACUUUGCAAUGUGCGAAAGCACGACAAGGUUAAUCCGAGUGGUUUCUGCUAAAGAAACCUUUUGUUAGUCCUAGAAACACUGAUGAAUAAGGGGUGGGCAAGUUCUGGUGUCAGCCGCCGCGGUAAAACCAGCACCUCAAGUGGUCAGGAUGAUUAUUGGGCCUAAAGCAUCCGUAGCCGGCUAUGUAAGUUUUCGGUUAAAUCUGUGCGCUUAACGUACAGGCUGCCGGGAAUACUGCAUAGCUAGGAAGUGGGAGAGGUAGACGGUACUCGGUAGGAAGGGGUAAAAUCCUUUGAUCUAUUGAUGACUACCUGUGGCGAAGGCGGUCUACCAGAACACGUUCGACGGUGAGGGAUGAAAGCUGGGGGAGCAAACCGGAUUAGAUACCCUAGUAGUC
RNAcentral lists this ribosomal RNA (423 nucleotides) under uncultured archaeon. RNAcentral describes it as "partial 16S ribosomal RNA". It matches the Rfam family "Archaeal small subunit ribosomal RNA", at positions 322 to 746 of the family's 1478-position model. The record is from RNAcentral.